CUACGGGGUGCAGCAGUGGGGAAUUUUGCGCAAUGGGGGAAACCCUGACGCAGCGAUACCGCGUGAGUGAAGAAGGCCUUUGGGUCGUAAAGCUCUUUUCCAAGGGAAGAUAGUGACGGUACCUUAGGAAUAAGCGCCGGCUAACUCCGUGCCAGCAGCCGCGGUAAUACGGAGGGCGCGAGCGUUGUUCGGAUUUACUGGGCGUAAAGGGCGCGUAGGCGGCCUGGCAAGUUAAGGGUGAAAUCCCGGGGCUCAACCCCGGAACUGCUCUUAAAACUGCCAAGCUAGAGAUGGUCAGAGGCGGGUGGAAUUCCAGGUGUAGAGGUGAAAUUCGUAGAUAUCUGGAGGAACACCGGUGGCGAAGGCGGCCCGCUGGGGCCAUUCUGACGCUGAGGCGCGAAAGCGUGGGGAGCGAACGGGAUUAGAUACCCGGGUAGUC
RNAcentral lists this ribosomal RNA (439 nucleotides) under uncultured bacterium. RNAcentral's name for it is "partial 16S ribosomal RNA". It matches the Rfam family "Bacterial small subunit ribosomal RNA", at positions 339 to 795 of the family's 1533-position model. The record is from RNAcentral.